UGUUCGAUGCCACGUCGACGAUAGCUUAAGGGCUAUGAUCGUUGAUGCUACAUUGGACAAAAACAGAUGUACGUGUUUCGCUUUUCUGAUAGGAACCUGUAGAUCUUGAUUCUUUUGGUCUACGGAGCCAUUUCGGCGAUUACAUUC
Non-coding RNA from Brassica napus (rape), 147 nucleotides. The record is from Rfam. NCBI's taxonomy places the organism in Eukaryota, Viridiplantae, Streptophyta, Magnoliopsida, Brassicales, Brassicaceae.